UACGUAGGGUGCGAGCGUUGUCCGGAAUUAUUGGGCGUAAAGAGCUCGUAGGCGGUCUGUCGCGUCUGCUGUGAAAACUCAGGGCUUAACCCUGAGCUUGCAGUGGGUACGGGCAGACUAGAGUGCGGUAGGGAGACUGGAAUUCCGUGGUGUAAGCGGUGAAAUGCGCAGAUAUCAGGAGGAACACCGGUGGCGAAGGCGGGUCUCUGGGCCGUAAACUGACGCUGGAGGAGCGAAAGCAUGGGAGCGAACAGG
This 255-nucleotide ribosomal RNA is filed under the name uncultured bacterium. RNAcentral's name for it is "partial 16S ribosomal RNA". It matches the Rfam family "Bacterial small subunit ribosomal RNA", at positions 524 to 776 of the family's 1533-position model. The record is from RNAcentral.